GGGCACCCAAAUUAGUCAUACUGAUUAACCUUAACGACAUAGGUCAACUCGAGUUACUUAGUGAUCUAAUCAACCUAAUAACUCGGGCUCAACCAUUAAGCCACAAUCAAGGUCUAUUUGGUUUAAUCAAAGACAUGAACUCGACCUUCUACAACUAUUGUAUUUGAUCUAGAGUAUUCUUGAUCUAAUCUAAAUCAACUAUUAGUGAGAUUUGAUCAACUAUUCUUUUAAGUCCAUUAAGUCUUUGAUUUUAAUCUUAGAUUUAAUCCAAUUAAAAGGACAUGAUUUGAACUAACCCAUGCUCCAUAUUUUAUGUAAUGUCAUUAGAUC
Molecule: long non-coding RNA, 330 nt
Filed under: Elaeis guineensis (African oil palm)
Lineage: Eukaryota; Viridiplantae; Streptophyta; Magnoliopsida; Arecales; Arecaceae
Description: long non-coding RNA (EGUI_LNC009833)
Source: RNAcentral